UACAGAGGGUGCAAGCGUUAAUCGGAAUUACUGGGCGUAAAGCGUGCGUAGACGGUUACAUAAGUCGGGUGUGAAAGCCCCGGGCUCAACCUGGGAACUGCAUCUGUGACUGCAUCGCUGGAGUGCGGCAGAGGGGGAUGGAAUUCCGCGUGUAGCAGUGAAAUGCGUAGAUAUGCGGAGGAACACCGAUGGCGAAGGCAAUCCCCUGGGCCUGCACUGACGCUCAUGCACGAAAGCGUGGGGAGCAAACAGG
This 253-nucleotide ribosomal RNA is filed under the name uncultured bacterium. RNAcentral's name for it is "partial 16S ribosomal RNA". It matches the Rfam family "Bacterial small subunit ribosomal RNA", at positions 524 to 776 of the family's 1533-position model. The record is from RNAcentral.